This 253-nucleotide ribosomal RNA is filed under the name uncultured bacterium. RNAcentral describes it as "partial 16S ribosomal RNA". It matches the Rfam family "Bacterial small subunit ribosomal RNA", at positions 524 to 776 of the family's 1533-position model. The record is from RNAcentral.
UACGAAGGUGGCAAGCGUUGUUCGGAUUUACUGGGCGUACAGGGAGCGUAGGCGGUUGGAUAAGCCCUCCGUGAAAUCUCCAGGCUUAACCUGGAAAGUGCAGAGGGGACUGUUCAGCCAGAGGAUGGGAGAGGAGCGCGGAAUUCCCGGUGUAGCGGUGAAAUGCGUAGAGAUCGGGAGGAAGGCCGGUGGCGAAGGCGGCGCUCUGGACCUCUUCUGACGCUGAGGCGCGAAAGCUAGGGGAGCAAACGGG